Molecule: ribosomal RNA, 253 nt
Filed under: uncultured bacterium
Lineage: Bacteria
Description: partial 16S ribosomal RNA
Rfam family: Bacterial small subunit ribosomal RNA
Source: RNAcentral
UACGUAGGGUGCGAGCGUUGUCCGGAAUUAUUGGGCGUAAAGAGCUCGUAGGCGGUUUGUCGCGUCGACUGUGAAAACCCGAGGCUUAACCUCGGGCCUGCAGUCGAUACGGGCAGACUAGAGUUCGGUAGGGGAGACUGGAAUUCCUGGUGUAGCGGUGAAAUGCGCAGAUAUCAGGAGGAACACCGGUGGCGAAGGCGGUUCUCUGGGCCUGUACUGACGCUGAGGAACGAAAGCGUGGGGAGCGAACAGG